AGCGAACGCUGGCGGCAGGCCUAACACAUGCAAGUCGAACGGAUCCUUCGGGAUUAGUGGCGGACGGGUGAGUAACACGUGGGAACGUGCCAUUAGGUUCGGAACAACUCAGGGAAACUUGAGCUAAUACCGGAUGUGCCCUUAGGGGGAAAGAUUUAUCGCCUUUAGAGCGGCCCGCGUCUGAUUAGCUAGUUGGUGAGGUAAAGGCUCACCAAGGCGACGAUCAGUAGCUGGUCUGAGAGGAUGACCAGCCACAUUGGGACUGAGACACGGCCCAAACUCCUACGGGAGGCAGCAGUGGCGAAUCUUGCGCAAUGGGCGAAAGCCUGACGCAGCCAUGCCGCGUGUAUGAUGAAGGUCUUAGGAUUGUAAAAUACUUUCACCGGUGAAGAUAAUGACUGUAGCCGGAGAAGAAGCCCCGGCUAACUUCGUGCCAGCAGCCGCCGCAG
This 449-nucleotide ribosomal RNA is filed under the name uncultured bacterium. Its description in RNAcentral is "partial 16S ribosomal RNA". It matches the Rfam family "Bacterial small subunit ribosomal RNA", at positions 29 to 523 of the family's 1533-position model. The record is from RNAcentral.